CUUCUCCACUGACCCGAAACCCUCCUCAGAACUGAAAGACACACACAAGCACAAAGAAUUGAAUGAAACUCUGGGACACAAGAAGGAAAAUUCGUCUUUUCAUCAUUGACCUUCAGAAAGGUUUCUUGAGAGACUAAACAUACAAAUGGACAAUGGCCAGACCAUGUGUAACAAUAAAACUCCGAUGGACAAUCUCUGGCAGCCAGCCCAGAACGAUCAGGACUUGUUCAAUGACUGCGAGCUAGCUUCCCCCUUUUUUAACCCUCUUACCUGCUUCCAACUCAAGACUAACAACAGAAUGCCAAAGACACUGCUCCCCAAAGCAAUUACGUAAGAUGCCUCACUGCUUGUUAGUGCACCUCCUGCUUCAAUGUGCCAACAACCUCCAAUCAGAAGAUAGCAGAAGCCUUCUUUUCCCCGCUUAUAAAGCUUUUUUACUCCCCUGCCUGUCUUUGAGACUUUGCUAAAUUCCAAGGAUGGUGGCUGAUCCUCUUGCUUUAUCAUGCUCUGAAUAAAUUGCUUGUUUGUUCUCA
RNAcentral lists this long non-coding RNA (533 nucleotides) under Homo sapiens (human). RNAcentral describes it as "HSALNT0330135". Lineage: Eukaryota; Metazoa; Chordata; Mammalia; Primates; Hominidae. The record is from RNAcentral.